Molecule: long non-coding RNA, 972 nt
Organism: Molossus molossus (Pallas's mastiff bat)
Lineage: Eukaryota; Metazoa; Chordata; Mammalia; Chiroptera; Molossidae
Exons: 4
Source: RefSeq, a predicted model, not a curated record
UGGCCAGAAUCAAACCUGUGACUCUGGUCUGAGGGCCAAUGCUCAAACCGCUGAGCCAAACCGGCCAGGGCAAAAUACUUUUUUAUAUUCUAGAUGCAUCUUUCAGUUUAUUGCAUCCUGGGUCGGGAGUUCUCAAUGUUGGCAAUGUUAUCAAUAUUGAGUUGAAUAAUUCUUUUUUGUGGGAGCUCUCCUGCGCAAUGUAGGAUGGUUGGCAACAUUCAUGCCUGUAUCUAUUAAAGGUCAGUAGCACCCCUCAGUUGUGACAAAUGAAAAUGUUAUGGACAUUGCCAAAUGUCCCCUGGGGUGCAAAAUUGCCCCUGAUUGAGAGCCAUGCUGUAAAUGUUCAGUGUUUUGUUUUUUGACACAUAAAAUAAUGGCCUCAAUUAAAAUUGCUUGAAUUUUGGAGUUAGUAAAAUAUCAUUCUUGCUUUAAAGCCUCCUUGCAUGUCCUAAUUUUAUUGUGCUUUAGUGCUUUUCAUUUUCCUACUCACAUGCCUUCUAAUCCUCAGAUUUUCCCAUGACGAAAGCCCGGAGAUCAUUGAAGGCCAAGCUGAAAUGUAUCUCUGCUUUUCCGGUGCUUCCCGUAAAAAUACAAUCUGAGGGAACAGGAAAGACCUUUUAAAAACAAAAUUACUCCUCAGAUUCCAGAGAAAGUCAGUGCCUAGCAGCACUGGUCAACAUCUGAAGUCUGACAGACUGUUACAUAGACAUGCAAUCUCCAACAUUAAGAAGUAGGAAGAAAUGAUCUCAUAAUGUCUGUCCUCUGGUGGUGAGACAUCGGACUAUAUCUGCAAAGUCUGCAUCUCUCCGGCUGUCCUGCAGUGAUGUAUAUAGUACAAUGCGGAAGGAAGAGCGUGUUCGCACAGCAAUGCAACCCUCCUGAUUAGCCCUGCUCGGAUCCGAUUUAUGCUUUGCUCCUCGGCUUCGAGGUACUUAGGUGUUCAGUUUGCAUUCUAGUCUGUUCCAUUUUAUA